Molecule: ribosomal RNA, 253 nt
Filed under: uncultured Glomeromycotina
Lineage: Eukaryota; Fungi; Glomeromycota
Description: partial 28S ribosomal RNA
Source: RNAcentral
UGGUAGGUUAACAUCAAUUCAGACGUCAUAAAAUGACGGGAGGAAUGUAGCUUUGGUCUCGUACUGAAGUGUUAUAACUCUGGUAGAUGUGACGUCUGGGAUUGAGGAUUGCAACGGAUACCUUUCGGGGCUAUCGCCUGGCCUCUGAUGGUCGCUUUGGUGCUGAAAGCUUGCUUAUGGUUAUCGAAGUUGGUGUCAAAAGGUUAGAGCGGGUUAAAUUCGUUAAGGAUGUUGGCGUAAUGGCUUUAAACGA